GUUUCAGCAGCCGCGGUAAUACGAGAGGCCCAAACGUUAUUCGGAAUUACUGGGCUUAAAGAGUUCGUAGGCGGCAUGAAAAGCAGGGUGUGAAAGCCCUCGGCUCAACCGAGGAAUUGCGCUCUGAACUGUCGUGCUAGAGGAAUCUAGAGGUGAGCGGAACUGAUGGUGGAGCGGUGAAAUGCGUUGAUAUCAUCAGGAACACCGGAGGCGAAGGCGGCUCACUGGGGAUUUUCUGACGCUGAGGAACGAAAGCCAGGGGAGCGAACGGGAUUAGAAACCCCCGUAGUCC
This 292-nucleotide ribosomal RNA is filed under the name uncultured bacterium. Its description in RNAcentral is "partial 16S ribosomal RNA". It matches the Rfam family "Bacterial small subunit ribosomal RNA", at positions 505 to 796 of the family's 1533-position model. The record is from RNAcentral.